CAAAUUGAAGGGGUAAAUCCAACCUAAAUCGAAAUCCAAGCACGAAUUCAUGAUCACCUCGAUGAAGGGAUCAUAAGGUAUGCCAAAUUUCAUUAUUUAGUUCCAUCUUGAAUUCUUGGUGAACAUAUGAAAUCAAAAAUUUGGCUUGCAUGAUUAAAGUUUGGAUGAAUUUAGGAUGAAAUCACGUCUAGGAGUAAACCCUAGUCAAUAACUAGUUGAAUUAGUGUUGAAAUUAUAAAGUUCAUGAUCAUCCAUUAUGGGUGUUUAAAUGGGUUUUGUAGAAACAUGAUGAACACUAGAACCAUGAUUGUCAAACUAGUGUUAUUUAAACUUUAUGAAGUUAAUCUUGACAUUUAACCAUGAAUUUGAUGAUCUUCUAGUAAAAGAUGUUGAAAUUGGCAAGAUAGGUAGCCAUAAGUUUGAUUGUUAAAUUCUAUAAAAGAAUGCCCAUUAGGUGUUUGUUAAAAUGCCUAAAUGAGAAGUAAAGUGGUGAAAUUCAAGUGAAACGCGUAAUUGGCAAGCUUGACUAAUCACAUGAGAUAUGGGAUAAAACGGGUUCUAAUCAUAAUGUUGAUUUGCCUUAAUCGUGCAUAUUAUAUGAUUAAAGGUAGUUGACUUUAGAAAGUCGAACUAACCUAUGAUGAAGUCGAAUAGAAGUUUCGACAUAAAGUCCGUAAG
This 678-nucleotide long non-coding RNA is filed under the name Helianthus annuus (common sunflower). Lineage: Eukaryota; Viridiplantae; Streptophyta; Magnoliopsida; Asterales; Asteraceae. The record is from RNAcentral.